GACGAACGCUGGCGGCGUGCCUAAUACAUGCCAGUUGAGCGCUGAAGGUUGGUACUUGUACCGACUGGAUGAGCAGCGAACGGGUGCGUAACGCGUGGGGAAUCUGCCUUUGAGAGGGGGACAACAUUUGGAAACGAAUGCUAAUACCGCAUAAAAACUUUAAACACAAGAUUUAAGUUUGAAAUAUGCAAUUGCAUCACUCAAAGAUGAUCCCGCGUUGUAUUAGCUAGUUGGUGAGGUAAAGGCUCACCAAGGCGAUGAUACAUAGCCGACCUGAGGGGGUGAUCGGCCACAGUGGGACUGAGACACGGCCCAAACUCCUACGGGAGGCAGCAGUAGGGAAUCUUCGGCAAUGGACGAAAGUCUGACCGAGCAACGCCGCGUGAGUGAAGAAGGUUUUCGGAUCGUAAAACUCUGUUGGUAGAGAAGAACGUUGGUGAGAGUGGAAAGCUCAUCAAGUGACGGUAACUACCCAGAAAGGGACGGCUAACUACGUG
This 497-nucleotide ribosomal RNA is filed under the name uncultured bacterium. Its description in RNAcentral is "partial 16S ribosomal RNA". It matches the Rfam family "Bacterial small subunit ribosomal RNA", at positions 28 to 507 of the family's 1533-position model. The record is from RNAcentral.